UACGAAGGGGGCUAGCGUUGUUCGGAAUUACUGGGCGUAAAGGGCGCGUAGGCGGUUGCUCAAGUCAGGCGUGAAAGCCCCGGGCUCAACCUGGGAAUAGCGCUUGAGACUGGGCGGCUUGAGUUCGGGAGAGGUGAGUGGAAUUCCCAGUGUAGAGGUGAAAUUCGUAGAUAUUGGGAAGAACACCGGUGGCGAAGGCGGCUCACUGGACCGACACUGACGCUGAGGCGCGAAAGCGUGGGGAGCAAACAGG
RNAcentral lists this ribosomal RNA (253 nucleotides) under uncultured bacterium. RNAcentral describes it as "partial 16S ribosomal RNA". It matches the Rfam family "Bacterial small subunit ribosomal RNA", at positions 524 to 776 of the family's 1533-position model. The record is from RNAcentral.